UGGCUCUCGCAUCGAUGAAGAACGCAGCGAAAUGCGAUAAGUAAUGUGAAUUGCAGAAUUCAGUGAAUCAUCGAAUCUUUGAACGCACCUUGCGCUCCAUGGUAUUCCGUGGAGCAUGCCUGUUUGAGUGUCAUGAAUACUUCAACCCUCCUCUUUCUUAAUGAUUGAAGAGGUGUUUGGUUUCUGAGCGCUGCUGGCCUUUACGGUCUAGCUCGUUCGUAAUGCAUUAGCAUCCGCAAUCGAACUUCGGAUUGACUUGGCGUAAUAGACUAUUCGCUGAGGAAUUCUAGUCUUCGGAUUAGAGCCGGGUUGGGUUAAAGGAAGCUUCUAAUCAGAAUGUCUACAUUUUAAGAUUAGAUCUCAAAUCAGGUAGGACUACCCGCUGA
Molecule: unclassified non-coding RNA, 386 nt
Filed under: uncultured fungus
Lineage: Eukaryota; Fungi
Description: partial contains 5.8S ribosomal RNA and internal transcribed spacer 2
Rfam family: 5.8S ribosomal RNA (bases 1-133)
Source: RNAcentral